GACGAACGCUGGCGGCGUGCUUAACACAUGCCAGUCGAACGGAAAGGCCCUGCUUUUGUGGGGUGCUCGAGUGGCGAACGGGUGAGUAACACGUGAGUAACCUGCCCUUGACUUUGGGAUAACUUCAGGAAACUGGGGCUAAUACCGGAUAGGAGCUCCUGCUGCAUGGUGGGGGUUGGAAAGUUUCGGCGGUUGGGGAUGGACUCGCGGCUUAUCAGCUUGUUGGUGGGGUAGUGGCUUACCAAGGCUUUGACGGGUAGCCGGCCUGAGAGGUGACCGGCCACAUUGGGACUGAGAUACGGCCCAGACUCCUACGGGAGGCAGCAGUGGGGAAUAUUGCACAAUGGGCGGAAGCCUGAUGCAGCAACGCCGCGUGCGGGAUGACGGCCUUCGGGUUGUAAACCGCUUUCGCCUGUGACGAAGCGUGAGUGACGGUAAUGGGUAAAGAAGCACCGGCUAACUACGUG
This 467-nucleotide ribosomal RNA is filed under the name uncultured bacterium. Its description in RNAcentral is "partial 16S ribosomal RNA". It matches the Rfam family "Bacterial small subunit ribosomal RNA", at positions 28 to 507 of the family's 1533-position model. The record is from RNAcentral.